Molecule: non-coding RNA, 135 nt
Organism: Triticum aestivum (bread wheat)
Lineage: Eukaryota; Viridiplantae; Streptophyta; Magnoliopsida; Poales; Poaceae
Source: Rfam
UUUGUACUCCCUCUGUCCCAAAAUUCUUGUCUUAUAUUUGUCUAAAUACAGAUGUAUCUAGUUACAUUUUAGUGUUAGAUACAUCCGUAUCUAAACCAAUGUAAGACAAGAAUUUUGGGACGGAGGGAAUACUAC